UACGGGGGGGGGCAAGCGUUGUUCGGAAUUACUGGGCGUAAAGGGCUCGUAGGCGGCCAACUAAGUCAGACGUGAAAUCCCUCGGCUUAACCGGGGAACUGCCUCUGAUACUGGAUGGCUUGAGAUUGGGAGAGGGAUGCGGAAUUCCAGGUGUAGCGGUGAAAUGCGUAGAUAUCUGGAGGAACACCGGUGGCGAAGGCGGCAUCCUGGACCAACACUGACGCUGAGGAGCGAAAGCCAGGGGAGCAAACGGG
This 254-nucleotide ribosomal RNA is filed under the name uncultured bacterium. Its description in RNAcentral is "partial 16S ribosomal RNA". It matches the Rfam family "Bacterial small subunit ribosomal RNA", at positions 524 to 776 of the family's 1533-position model. The record is from RNAcentral.